AACUUUCAACAACGGAUCUCUUGGUUCUCGCAUCGAUGAAGAACGCAGCGAAAUGCGAUAAGUAGUGUGAAUUGCAGAAUUCCGUGAAUCAUCGAAUCUUUGAACGCA
Molecule: ribosomal RNA, 108 nt
Filed under: uncultured fungus
Lineage: Eukaryota; Fungi
Description: 5.8S ribosomal RNA
Rfam family: 5.8S ribosomal RNA
About the family: 5.8S ribosomal RNA (5.8S rRNA) is a component of the large subunit of the eukaryotic ribosome. It is transcribed by RNA polymerase I as part of the 45S precursor that also contains 18S and 28S rRNA.
Source: RNAcentral